AACGCACGAGACCUGCGGACCUGCGGAAGGAUCAUUAAUGAGAAACUGCCCCUCGCGGGUAGAUCUCCCACCCUUUGUAAACUUACCUUUGUUGCUUUGGCAGGCCCGUCUCCGGACCGCCGGCUUCGGCUGGCCAGUGCCUGCCAGAGGAUUCUAAAACUCUGUCUGUCAGUGUUGUCUGAGUCUAUAUACGAUCGUUAAAACUUUCAGCAACGGAUCUCUAGAUCGGAAGAGCACACG
This 240-nucleotide unclassified non-coding RNA is filed under the name soil metagenome. RNAcentral describes it as "partial contains 5.8S ribosomal RNA, internal transcribed spacer 2, and large subunit ribosomal RNA". The record is from RNAcentral.